UGAGGAACAUGACCUUCGGCGGGGGAUAGCCGGCCCAACGGCCGGGUAAUACCGCGUACGACCACAUGGGGACAUCCCUGAGUGGUGAAAGCAGCAAUGCGCCGAUGGAGUGCCUCGCGGCCUAUCAGCUAGUUGGUGAGGUAACGGCUCACCAAGGCAACGAUGCGUAGCCGACCUGAGAGGGUGAUCGGCCACAUUGGAACUGAGACACGGUCCAGACCUNUACGGGAGG
This 232-nucleotide ribosomal RNA is filed under the name uncultured bacterium. Its description in RNAcentral is "partial 16S ribosomal RNA". It matches the Rfam family "Bacterial small subunit ribosomal RNA", at positions 118 to 347 of the family's 1533-position model. The record is from RNAcentral.